UUAUGCAUGGGUUAGUGGUUUGAGCGUUGGACUACAACUCUGGAGACCAGGGUUCGAAUCCCUGCUUGGCUGUGAAAA
Molecule: non-coding RNA, 78 nt
Organism: Phrynosoma platyrhinos (Desert horned lizard)
Lineage: Eukaryota; Metazoa; Chordata; Lepidosauria; Squamata; Phrynosomatidae
Source: the annotation of a GenBank genome assembly